RNAcentral lists this ribosomal RNA (983 nucleotides) under Salmonella enterica subsp. enterica serovar Enteritidis. RNAcentral's name for it is "partial 23S ribosomal RNA". It matches the Rfam family "Bacterial large subunit ribosomal RNA", at positions 711 to 1694 of the family's 2925-position model. Lineage: Bacteria; Pseudomonadati; Pseudomonadota; Gammaproteobacteria; Enterobacterales; Enterobacteriaceae. The record is from RNAcentral.
AGACCCGAAACCCGGUGAUCUAGCCAUGGGCAGGUUGAAGGUUGGGUAACACUAACUGGAGGACCGAACCGACUAAUGUUGAAAAAUUAGCGGAUGACCUGUGGCUGGGGGUGAAAGGCCAAUCAAACCGGGAGAUAGCUGGUUCUCCCCGAAAGCUAUUUAGGUAGCGCCUCGUGAAUUCAUCUCCGGGGGUAGAGCACUGUUUCGGCUAGGGGGCCAUCCCGGCUUACCAACCCGAUGCAAACUGCGAAUACCGGAGAAUGUUAUCACGGGAGACACACGGCGGGUGCUAACGUCCGUCGUGAAGAGGGAAACAACCCAGACCGCCAGCUAAGGUCCCAAAGUCAUGGUUAAGUGGGAAACGAUGUGGGAAGGCCCAGACAGCCAGGAUGUUGGCUUAGAAGCAGCCAUCAUUUAAAGAAAGCGUAAUAGCUCACUGGUCGAGUCGGCCUGCGCGGAAGAUGUAACGGGGCUAAACCAUGCACCGAAGCUGCGGCAGCGACACUGUGUGUUGUUGGGUAGGGGAGCGUUCUGUAAGCCUGCGAAGGUGGCCUGUGAGGGUUGCUGGAGGUAUCAGAAGUGCGAAUGCUGACAUAAGUAACGAUAAAGCGGGUGAAAAGCCCGCUCGCCGGAAGACCAAGGGUUCCUGUCCAACGUUAAUCGGGGCAGGGUGAGUCGACCCCUAAGGCGAGGCCGAAAGGCGUAGUCGAUGGGAAACGGGUUAAUAUUCCCGUACUUGGUGUUACUGCGAAGGGGGGACGGAGAAGGCUAUGUUGGCCGGGCGACGGUUGUCCCGGUUUAAGCGUGUAGGCUGGUUUUCCAGGCAAAUCCGGAAAAUCAAGGCUGAGGCGUGAUGACGAGGCACUACGGUGCUGAAGCAACAAAUGCCCUGCUUCCAGGAAAAGCCUCUAAGCAUCAGGUAACAUCAAAUCGUACCCCAAACCGACACAGGUGGUCAGGUAGAGAAUACCAAGGCGCUUGAG